This 71-nucleotide transfer RNA is filed under the name Afroedura loveridgei. RNAcentral describes it as "tRNA-Trp". The record is from RNAcentral. Lineage: Eukaryota; Metazoa; Chordata; Lepidosauria; Squamata; Gekkonidae.
AGAAAUUUAGGUUACAUUCUAAACCUGGGACCUUCAAAGCCCCAAACAGAGGGACCACCCCCUAAUUUCUG